UUAAUAAUAGGGCAUACUUACUGAAAGGUAAGGACGCAAAGCUAUGGGUCUAAGGGUGAAAUUACUAGAUUUCACCUAUGAUUGCCAGGUUGCAGAU
Molecule: non-coding RNA, 97 nt
Filed under: Priestia koreensis
Lineage: Bacteria; Bacillati; Bacillota; Bacilli; Caryophanales; Bacillaceae
Description: Bacillus koreensis c-di-GMP sequence
Rfam family: c-di-GMP-I riboswitch aptamer
About the family: GEMM was predicted in a large-scale screen for bacterial structured RNA regulatory elements.
Source: Rfam by way of RNAcentral